GGGAUGACGUACUGUUCCAUGACUGACAGAAAAAAUGAGCCAAUCAUGACAGAAAACUGAGCCUAUUAGGCACAACACUGUAUUUUCUGCUGGCUAGCCCCACCACCACAGAAAACAAUGAGCUAGUCUGAAGCACCUGCAAUUUGGAGCUGCCUUACUCAAGAAAGCAAAAAAGAGACCAUGUUUCUAAGUCCCCUCCAGCACCAUGAUUAAGAGGGGAUGACUACUCCACUCCACUAUCAUUGUCAACUCUCGCCUGACAUUAACUGAAGCCACGUCUCACGUGCCACUCAUCCACCGGCACAUUGAAUGUUUCCCCUCCAAGCACUUCAAAUCCUGUCCUGCACUGAAGUCAAGACUCUGAACACCUCAACUCAUGCAUCAUACUCUCAUUCAAUCACAAUCCCUUCCCAACACUGUAUGCUGAACUGAGUCAGACCUGCAUGGGACGCCAGCGCGAACACAUACACACACACCCAUCACCCCCUCCUCUCUGAGACUCACAGCGUCCCUCCCCACUCCAAAAGAAGAGGCUAUAGGGAUGCUGGGCUGCCAGUCCAGCUGUCUCCAUCUGGCCAGCUCACUUGGCAGCAUGUGACACCACACAACUCAUGCCAAACUGUGUCCCAGCAGCUGGAGGGCCACAGCAAAAACCAAUCAACAAACAGAACAGCAUCGGUCUCACUGUUGCUGGGCCAGCUUCUAUACGCUCUGAGAAAAUGUUCACGCUACAGUAUACUGUAGGCCUAUCCUACCAAAACAAAAGUCCCUGUUCCAUUCAAU
Oncorhynchus tshawytscha (Chinook salmon) is the source of this 783-nucleotide long non-coding RNA. The record is from Ensembl. NCBI's taxonomy places the organism in Eukaryota, Metazoa, Chordata, Actinopteri, Salmoniformes, Salmonidae.